GACGAACGCUGGCGGCGUGCUUAACACAUGCAAGUCGAACGAUGAAGCUGGAGCUUGCUCCGGUGGAUUAGUGGCGAACGGGUGAGUAACACGUGAGCAAUCUGCCCUUGACUCUGGGAUAACUGCGGGAAACUGUAGCUAAUACCGGAUACGAGGCUCGAAGGCAUCUUCGGGUCUGGAAAGAAUUUCGGUCAAGGAUGAGCUCGCGGCCUAUCAGCUUGUUGGUGAGGUAAUGGCUCACCAAGGCGACGACGGGUAGCCGGCCUGAGAGGGUGACCGGCCACACUGGGACUGAGACACGGCCCAGACGCCUACGGGAGGCAGCAGUGGGGAAUAUUACACAAUGGGCGAAAGCCUGAUGCAGCAACGCCGCGUGAGGGAUGAAGGCCUUCGGGUUGUAAACCUCUUUUAGCAGGGAAGAAGCGAAAGUGACGGUACCUGCAGAAAAAGCACCGGCUAACUACGUGCCAGCCGCCGCGGUAA
Molecule: ribosomal RNA, 483 nt
Filed under: uncultured bacterium
Lineage: Bacteria
Description: partial 16S ribosomal RNA
Rfam family: Bacterial small subunit ribosomal RNA
Source: RNAcentral